Taeniopygia guttata (zebra finch) is the source of this 1364-nucleotide non-coding RNA. Lineage: Eukaryota; Metazoa; Chordata; Aves; Passeriformes; Estrildidae. The record is from RefSeq and is a predicted model, not a curated record.
GGCUGCGGGGGACGGGGCUGCCGCCGCCGCGGUGCACGCCCGGGCCGAGCCCCUCAGGGAGGCCGGCGUGGACGAGGAGGUGGAAAUGGCGUUGCAGCUCGCCCUGGAGCGGUUCCGGAGCGGGGACGAGGGGGGUGCGCGGCAUGGCCCGGCCCGGGGGCAGCCUGCGGGGAGGGCGCUGGCGGCGGGUCAGGGAGGGGAUCCUGCCUCUCUGCCCGGCCGUAGUGAGGUACAGCUGGGGUGCUGUGUCCAGCUCUGGGCUCUCCAGCACGGAGACAGAGAGCUACUGGAGGGGGUCCGGCAGAGACCACUGAGAUGAGAUGAGAGGUCUGGAGCAUCUCUUACCAGGAGAGGUGUGGGAGUUGGUCCUGUUUAGCCCAGAGGAGACUGAGAGGGGAUCUUACUAAUGCAUAUGAAUAUCUCCAAGGUGAGUCCCAGGAAGGCGGUGCAGACUUUUUGGUGGCAGGACAAGGAGCAAUGGCCAUAAAUUGAAACAGAAGAAGUUCCACCUGAACAUGAGGGAGAACUUCUUUCCUUUGAGAGUGGUAGAGCACUGAAACUGCUGCCCAGGGAAAGCGCUGAAUUUCCCCCUCUGGAGACACCCCAAACCCUAGAUGUGUUCCUCUGUCACCUGCUCCAGGUGACCCUGCAGGGGGCUUGCACUGGGUGGUCUCCCUUCCAAUCCUAACAAUUCUGUCGUUCUGUAACAUUGAGAUGUCAAGAUUACUGCCUGUUGCAUUGUUACUGUUUUUUCAUUAUUAUUUAUCAUUCUAGAGAUGGAAUUUCCUUCUAGUUUCACUAGUACUGAAAGAGCAUUUGUUCACCGUCUCUGUCAGUCUCUUGGAAUGGUAUCUAAAAGGAGAGGAAAAGGAGCCAAUUGAUACCUGACUGUAAGGAAGAAGGACAUGUCAGAGGCACACGCAGUCAUGACUUGUGACUUGGCUCUCCAUACGAAACACACAGUUUGGAGUCUAAUUCAGCACUUUCCCGUCACAAAUAAGAAACACGCAGAACUCCUGCCAAGGACAGAGCGAGGAAGUGCCUGUGCUGUUGAAUCUGGUAUGUUCAGCAUGUGUUCUGAUUUGGACUUGUCCAUUGACACCACUUGAAAAAACCACCUGCAACCCAAAAGAAAACAAACCUCUUUCUGCUCUGUCCCCUCUGGUAUCCUGACAGACACCUUCAAACAAAUGCAUUAAUUUUCCUUACUUUUAAGGUCUUUUAUAACUGGUGCUGUGAGGAACUUGGGAAGUCAUAUCAUGCACAUUGAGAUGUCCACCUUGUGUUGUGUUAAUUUAGAAUCAUUGAGCCAGUUCCAGCCAAAUCUUUUUGGAAGCACAUUUUGAAAUGUGACUUCAUACAAA